UACGAAGGGGGCUAGCGUUGCUCGGAAUCACUGGGCGUAAAGGGCGCGUAGGCGGCGCGGGAAGUCCAUGGUGAAAGCCCGAGGCUCAACUUCGGGUCGGCCAAGGAUACUCCCGGGCUCGAGCACUGUAGAGGCAGGUGGAAUUCCGGGUGUAGCGGUGGAAUGCGUAGAGAUCCGGAAGAACACCGGUGGCGAAGGCGGCCUGCUGGGCAGUAGCUGACGCUGAGGCGCGACAGCGUGGGGAGCAAACAGG
RNAcentral lists this ribosomal RNA (253 nucleotides) under uncultured bacterium. RNAcentral describes it as "partial 16S ribosomal RNA". It matches the Rfam family "Bacterial small subunit ribosomal RNA", at positions 524 to 776 of the family's 1533-position model. The record is from RNAcentral.